UACGAAGGGGGCUAGCGUUGUUCGGAAUCACUGGGCGUAAAGGGCGCGUAGGCGGCUGUUCAAGUCGGGGGUGAAAUCCCGUGGCUCAACCACGGAAUGGCCUUCGAUACUGGACGGCUAGAGACCGGAAGAGGUGAGUGGAACUGCGAGUGUAGAGGUGAAAUUCGUAGAUAUUCGCAAGAACACCAGUGGCGAAGGCGGCUCACUGGUCCGGUUCUGACGCUGAGGCGCGAAAGCGUGGGGAGCAAACAGGAUUAGAUACCCUGGUAGUCCACGCCGUAAACGAUGGAUGCCAGCCGUUGGCGAGCUUGCUCGUCAGUGGCGCAGCUAACGCUAUGAGCAUCCCGCCUGGGGAGUACGGUCGCAAGAUUAAA
Molecule: ribosomal RNA, 374 nt
Filed under: uncultured bacterium
Lineage: Bacteria
Description: bacterial SSU rRNA
Rfam family: Bacterial small subunit ribosomal RNA
Source: RNAcentral